GGGAGUGAAAUAGAACCUGAAACCCUGCACUUACAAGCUGUGGAAGCACAUUUCUUGUGUGACCGCGUACUUUUUGUAGAACGGGCCAACGAGUUACGUUAAGUAGCAAGGUUAAGCACUUAAGGUGCGGAGCCGUAGCGAAAGCGAGUUUUAACUGAGCGUUCAGUUACUUGACGUAGACCCGAACCCGGGCGACCUACCCAUGAGCAGGAUGAAGCGAAAGUAAAAUUUCGUGGAGGUCCGAACCCACGAGCGUUGAAAAGCUCGGGGAUGACUUGUGGGUAGCGGUGAAAUUCCAAGCGAGCCCGGAGAUAGCUGGUUC
RNAcentral lists this ribosomal RNA (322 nucleotides) under Clostridioides difficile. RNAcentral describes it as "bacterial LSU rRNA". It matches the Rfam family "Bacterial large subunit ribosomal RNA", at positions 534 to 855 of the family's 2925-position model. Lineage: Bacteria; Bacillati; Bacillota; Clostridia; Peptostreptococcales; Peptostreptococcaceae. The record is from RNAcentral.